RNAcentral lists this long non-coding RNA (1412 nucleotides) under Betta splendens (Siamese fighting fish). Its description in RNAcentral is "lncRNA (ENSBSLG00000008366.1)". Lineage: Eukaryota; Metazoa; Chordata; Actinopteri; Anabantiformes; Osphronemidae. The record is from RNAcentral.
GCCGUGAGUCGUGAUCAGCUCGUCCUUGAGAGGCAGAGAGGGAGAGAGAAAAAGGACUGUAUUAUUGCUUAGAAUCAGAGGAGGGGUUAUGGAUUGAUACAAAUAGUCACCCCCGCCAAGCCAACCCCAGCGCAGGCUGAAUUAAUGUGUUGCUAUUUUUGGGAGCCCCGUGUUUCCAGGGGAGACCUAAUGACGCAAUGACGUCAAUGCGGGUCAAUCGCAGACUGGAGGAAUUGAGUGGCUUCCAUUUGGGUCUUUUGCAGUAUUUCCUACAGAAAGGAUGGAAACGAGUACAAAAUGGAAGUAUAUUGCCUCCAAAAUGCAUCGAAAACAGAGGUGAAUCAAAAUGCUGAAGUGAAAAUGAUCAGACCGGCAUCACGUCGCCCCAACCCUUCGAGCAUCAGCGGUAGUAAGGGAGGGGCUUUACACAACCUGACCUAUUCCGAGCCCUCGCAUCCAGACGCACAGAGGUAACGAGCGCCGUUCUCCCUCGCCAUCACAUCUCAACGCACAACGCAGCUCUCGCCCAUUUAUUCUCGCAUUUUUACACGUUUUUUUUUACUGUUGCCGUGCCACGUUUUGUCUAUAAACUGCUGAUCGGGGCUUGUGCGCCGGUGAGAGCGGCGUCUCGUUAUUGUGGCUCAAGACCGUGCGCGUCAUGGUUGCUCGCAGCUCGGCGACCUGCCGACGCGCACAACCGAACGCGGGCGAUGCGUGGAGAUUUAGUCUUUUCCCAAACUUUGAAUUCGCCUGUGGAUCGUAUCUUUACCGCUGAAGUUCAAUGCGUCCGUCAAGGGAUCACGGUGUUGUGUAUUACCCAGUGAUUGCGGGCAUAUUCGGGAUUAUAGGAGGGUUAUUUUUCAGGCUACUGGCCAGGUGACGUGGGUAUAAGCAGGAUGAAUUGACAGUGCAACCCAUUGUUACAAGAAAAAAAGCCCAAGAGGGAUACAUGUUGCAUUCAACAAGAUGCUGGUGCUCCUAUUCAAUCAGACACACAUUUACAUAUUUAAACAGACGCACAUGCACACAUUAUCGGACACACACACACACACACUUGCACACAUGCACAGUGUCGUGAGAGGAGGUGGGGGAUUUUAGGGCGUUUACCGGCAGGGCUGGUGUGAAGCUUUCAGAACCAUGGACAGCUCACAUGAAGCUCCUCCAGUGUGGUCCACUCUCCUCCGUCCGCUGCAGCAUCAUUGUUCAGCAGUAAACCCCAUUUAACCCCCGGAGAUUCCUGUUUUAUUGUCCAGAGGAUACAAUUUUACCUAACCUUUUUACCUAAUUUUACCUUAUCAUUCAUCAUAUUCAUCAUAGAACACAAAGCUCACAUUUUGCCUUUUAGGUUGUUACUGUGUUGCAACUGUGUAAGGUAAUGCCAGCUAACUGCAUAAUGGGUGCAUUGUAAAAAC